GAACUAACAAGGAUUCCCCUAGUAACGGCGAGUGAAGCGGGAUGAGCUCAAGCUUAAAAUCUCUGUGCAAGUUUUGCAUGGCGAAUUGUAGUCUAUGGAGGCGAUGUCAGUGCGACUGCGUGGGUUAAGUUCCUUGGAAGAGGACAGCAUCGAGGGUGAUACUCCCGUAUGUACCUGUGUAGUUGCGCGUACGACACGUUUUCUUUGAGUCGCGUUGUUUGGGAAUGCAGCGCAAAGUAGGUGGUAAAUUCCAUCUAAAGCUAAAUAUUGGUGCGAGACCGAUAGCGAACAAGUACCGUGAGGGAAAGAUGAAAAGAACUUUGAAAAGAGAGUUAAAGAGUACCUGAAACUGCUGAAAGGGAAUCGAAUCGUUUCCAGUGUCUAUAAUCCGUGACAUAUUUCAUUGGCGCGUGGGUGCGUGCAGUAUUUUGGAAGUGGUUUUCCUCUCCUGGUGCUGUUGUGCGUCUGCUUGCUGGUGCCCUGUGUUGCGGUGGGACGUCAGAGUCAGUUCGUAUGCUACGGGAAAUGGCUGUUAGGAAGGUAGGCUGCUUCGGUGGCUGUUAUAUCCUGGCGUGCUAGUCGUCGUGGUUGGGACUGAGGUGCCUACAACGUGCUUUUGAGUCUUCGGGACUCUCGUUUGGUCAUUUGCUUUGACAGCUUGCUGUGUUGGUGAAUGCAUCGGGCGAUUGAGAUCUGUCGUAACUUAUUGCCGUUCGGGACUUUGACGAAAUGGAGCGAUCCGUC
This 744-nucleotide ribosomal RNA is filed under the name Pythium sp. OPU797. RNAcentral's name for it is "LSU rRNA". It matches the Rfam family "Eukaryotic large subunit ribosomal RNA", at positions 56 to 648 of the family's 3401-position model. The record is from RNAcentral. Lineage: Eukaryota; Oomycota; Peronosporomycetes; Pythiales; Pythiaceae.